UUGUUACCGCCUCUCUUAAAUUCCGUUUUAAAAAUGUACAUGAAGUGGAAUAAUUCUCCAGAACUUUAUUAUAGCAAAUUGCUUUUAAAUGCUAACGUAAAAUACUUUUAAAUAUAAAACCUAUGACAAUCUUAGCACCUUUUAAAGUCAUAGACGUAUAAGUCCCAAUCAAGUAAUCCUUGGAAAUCGUAGUGUCAAACUCAAUGUGCUACAAACGACUCCCAUAUUAUCAUUCUCAUUUGAAGAUUUGUAGCAUAAACAUCUAAAUUCGUUGUUUUGUCUCGAUUUGUUAUUUGUCCGGUUCAAUCUCAACAAGAAAUCAUCAUGUGUUGUGGACCUUGUGGACCGUGCUAUGGACCCUGCGGCAGUCGCUGCUGUGGUCCUUGUGGACCGUGCUUCGUACCUUGCAAUCCCUGCUGUUCACCUUGCUGCACUCCCUGCUGCUCACCUUGCUGCAGUCCCUGCUGCAGUCCUUGCUGUGGUGGCGGCUGCUGGUGCUAAUGAAGCCCGGAGCUUGGAAUUAAACGCCCUAACGAAGUCCAUUCCACUCAAGACAUGACCAAUCACCAUUCCUAGACUGAACCGCAAAUAAUAAUUCAAGGCAUUACAACAGUAAAAAAUGAAA
Drosophila kikkawai is the source of this 625-nucleotide non-coding RNA. Lineage: Eukaryota; Metazoa; Arthropoda; Insecta; Diptera; Drosophilidae. The record is from RefSeq and is a predicted model, not a curated record.